AGCGUACACGGUGGAUGCCCUGGCAGUCAGAGGCGAUGAAGGACGUGCUAAUCUGCGAUAAGCGUCGGUAAGGUGAUAUGAACCGUUAUAACCGGCGAUUUCCGAAUGGGGAAACCCAGUGUGUUUCGACACACUAUCAUUAACUGAAUCCAUAGGUUAAUGAGGCGAACCGGGGGAACUGAAACAUCUAAGUACCCCGAGGAAAAGAAAUCAACCGAGAUUCCCCCAGUAGCGGCGAGCGAACGGGGAGCAGCCCAGAGCCUGAAUCAGUGUGUGUGUUAGUGGAAGCGUCUGGAAAGGCGCGCGAUACAGGGUGACAGCCCCGUACACAAAAAUGCACAUACUGUGAGCUCGAUGAGUAGGGCGGGACACGUGGUAUCCUGUCUGAAUAUGGGGGGACCAUCCUCCAAGGCUAAAUACUCCUGACUGACCGAUAGUGAACCAGUACCGUGAGGGAAAGGCGAAAAGAACCCCGGCGAGGGGAGUGAAAAAGAACCUGAAACCGUGUACGUACAAGCAGUGGGAGCACGCUUCGGCGUGUGACUGCGUACCUUUUGUAUAAUGGGUCAGCGACUUAUAUUCUGUAGCAAGGUUAACCGAAUAGGGGAGCCGAAGGGAAACCGAGUCUUAACUGGGCGUUAAGUUGCAGGGUAUAGACCCGAAACCCGGUGAUCUAGCCAUGGGCAGGUUGAAGGUUGGGUAACACUAACUGGAGGACCGAACCGACUAAUGUUGAAAAAUUAGCGGAUGACUUGUGGCUGGGGGUGAAAGGCCAAUCAAACCGGGAGAUAGCUGGUUCUCCCCGAAAGCUAUUUAGGUAGCGCCUCGUGAAUUCAUCUCCGGGGGUAGAGCACUGUUUCGGCAAGGGGGUCAUCCCGACUUACCAACCCGAUGCAAACUGCGAAUACCGGAGAAUGUUAUCACGGGAGACACACGGCGGGUGCUAACGUCCGUCGUGAAGAGGGAAACAACCCAGACCGCCAGCUAAGGUCCCAAAGUCAUGGUUAAGUGGGAAACGAUGUGGGAAGGCCCAGACAGCCAGGAUGUUGGCUUAGAAGCAGCCAUCAUUUAAAGAAAGCGUAAUAGCUCACUGGUCGAGUCGGCCUGCGCGGAAGAUGUAACGGGGCUAAACCAUGCACCGAAGCUGCGGCAGCGACACUAUGUGUUGUUGGGUAGGGGAGCGUUCUGUAAGCCUGUGAAGGUGUGCUGUGAGGCAUGCUGGAGGUAUCAGAAGUGCGAAUGCUGACAUAAGUAACGAUAAAGCGGGUGAAAAGCCCGCUCGCCGGAAGACCAAGGGUUCCUGUCCAACGUUAAUCGGGGCAGGGUGAGUCGACCCCUAAGGCGAGGCCGAAAGGCGUAGUCGAUGGGAAACAGGUUAAUAUUCCUGUACUUGGUGUUACUGCGAAGGGGGGACGGAGAAGGCUAUGUUGGCCGGGCGACGGUUGUCCCGGUUUAAGCGUGUAGGCUGGUUUUCCAGGCAAAUCCGGAAAAUCAAGGCUGAGGCGUGAUGACGAGGCACUACGGUGCUGAAGCAACAAAUGCCCUGCUUCCAGGAAAAGCCUCUAAGCAUCAGGUAACAUUAAAUCGUACCCCAAACCGACACAGGUGGUCAGGUAGAGAAUACCAAGGCGCUUGAGAGAACUCGGGUGAAGGAACUAGGCAAAAUGGUGCCGUAACUUCGGGAGAAGGCACGCUGAUAUGUAGGUGAAGUCCCUCGCGGAUGGAGCUGAAAUCAGUCGAAGAUACCAGCUGGCUGCAACUGUUUAUUAAAAACACAGCACUGUGCAAACACGAAAGUGGACGUAUACGGUGUGACGCCUGCCCGGUGCCGGAAGGUUAAUUGAUGGGGUUAGCGGUAACGCGAAGCUCUUGAUCGAAGCCCCGGUAAACGGCGGCCGUAACUAUAACGGUCCUAAGGUAGCGAAAUUCCUUGUCGGGUAAGUUCCGACCUGCACGAAUGGCGUAAUGAUGGCCAGGCUGUCUCCACCCGAGACUCAGUGAAAUUGAACUCGCUGUGAAGAUGCAGUGUACCCGCGGCAAGACGGAAAGACCCCGUGAACCUUUACUAUAGCUUGACACUGAACAUUGAGCCUUGAUGUGUAGGAUAGGUGGGAGGCUUUGAAGUGUGGACGCCAGUCUGCAUGGAGCCGACCUUGAAAUACCACCCUUUAAUGUUUGAUGUUCUAACGUUGACCCGUGAUCCGGGUUGCGGACAGUGUCUGGUGGGUAGUUUGACUGGGGCGGUCUCCUCCUAAAGAGUAACGGAGGAGCACGAAGGUUGGCUAAUCCUGGUCGGACAUCAGGAGGUUAGUGCAAUGGCAUAAGCCAGCUUGACUGCGAGCGUGACGGCGCGAGCAGGUGCGAAAGCAGGUCAUAGUGAUCCGGUGGUUCUGAAUGGAAGGGCCAUCGCUCAACGGAUAAAAGGUACUCCGGGGAUAACAGGCUGAUACCGCCCAAGAGUUCAUAUCGACGGCGGUGUUUGGCACCUCGAUGUCGGCUCAUCACAUCCUGGGGCUGAAGUAGGUCCCAAGGGUAUGGCUGUUCGCCAUUUAAAGUGGUACGCGAGCUGGGUUUAGAACGUCGUGAGACAGUUCGGUCCCUAUCUGCCGUGGGCGCUGGAGAACUGAGGGGGGCUGCUCCUAGUACGAGAGGACCGGAGUGGACGCAUCACUGGUGUUCGGGUUGUCAUGCCAAUGGCACUGCCCGGUAGCUAAAUGCGGAAGAGAUAAGUGCUGAAAGCAUCUAAGCACGAAACUUGCCCCGAGAUGAGUUCUCCCUGACUCCUUGA
RNAcentral lists this ribosomal RNA (2788 nucleotides) under Escherichia coli O145:H28 str. 4865/96. Its description in RNAcentral is "bacterial LSU rRNA". It matches the Rfam family "Bacterial large subunit ribosomal RNA". The record is from RNAcentral. Lineage: Bacteria; Pseudomonadati; Pseudomonadota; Gammaproteobacteria; Enterobacterales; Enterobacteriaceae.